Molecule: long non-coding RNA, 833 nt
Filed under: Eutrema salsugineum
Lineage: Eukaryota; Viridiplantae; Streptophyta; Magnoliopsida; Brassicales; Brassicaceae
Description: long non-coding RNA (ESAL_LNC000229)
Source: RNAcentral
ACCAAAAUUAUUUAAACUUUAGUAUAUUGGACAAUUUUGUUUACAUAACCGUGGCACUUGAAUGUAGGCACAAGAGUUUCCAACUAUAAAAAAAUGUUCAACGACUUUCCUUACUUACAGUGACUUGAUUGGUUGCGAAACUUGGGGGUGGCUACAUUACAAAUUUGUUUAUAUUUAAAACACUUUUAGCCGAUGGAGAAGCAAAAUGAAAGAGAAAUACUCAGGCUUGUUGUGUGUAGUCUUUUAUACUGCACCAUCUGAUGAACUUGUUUUCCAAUAGUCACUCUAUGGAUUACGCUGCACCAACAGAAGAUCAAAGAACGCCCUAACAUUUGUAUGCCAGCGAACGCAACUUAGUAAUGAAAGCACAGAAUAAAACACAGCCAAUGACACACAACACACAACAACCAGUUUAUAAUACGUUAAAGACAUUUUUGUUACCCUUUUAUUCACGAAACCAUCUCUGUUUUCACCAGCUACCCUCUUCUUCCAAACCCAUGAACCAAAAAGAAUCAGCAACAACACCAGUUCAAGAAAAUGGAGGGCAACGGAAAGUAAAUGGGGUGAAGGAGAAGAACAUCGAUAGGAUUUUCCAUCAGGAAAUGAGUAUGGACUGACAAAACUGAAUACUCGCGUGAGUGGAUUGGGUAUUUAUUGGCUACUGAGUCAAUAAAUAAUACUACUUUGGAAGACCAAGAGGAGUCACAAAUUAAAGCAUAUAUGUAUCAUGACGCAGCAACCUUCCAAUCAUGAAUUUUAUAAUGGUUAAAGCCAGGACGCCCCACCAAACCUUCGCAGAAACUUCCGUGUGGUAUUCUCUAAACAAUCACAAU